This 298-nucleotide signal recognition particle RNA is filed under the name Oncorhynchus mykiss (rainbow trout). Its description in RNAcentral is "Metazoan signal recognition particle RNA (ENSOMYG00000054864.1)". It matches the Rfam family "Metazoan signal recognition particle RNA". From Rfam's summary of the family: The signal recognition particle (SRP) is a universally conserved ribonucleoprotein. It is involved in the co-translational targeting of proteins to membranes. The eukaryotic SRP consists of a 300-nucleotide 7S RNA and six proteins: SRPs 72, 68, 54, 19, 14, and 9. Lineage: Eukaryota; Metazoa; Chordata; Actinopteri; Salmoniformes; Salmonidae. The record is from RNAcentral.
GCCGGGUGCGGUGGCAUGUGCCUGUAAUCCAAGUCACUGGGAGGCUGAGGUUGGUGGAUCAAGUGAGCUGAGGAGCUCUGGGCUGCAGCACGCUAUGUCGAACGGUGUCCACGCUAAGUUCGGUAUCGAUAUGGUGUUCCUGGGGGAGCCCGGGACCACCAGGUUGUCUAAGGAGGGGUGAACCGGCCCAGGUCGGAAACGAAGCAGGUCAAAUCCCCCGUGCUGUCCAGUAGUGGGAUAAUACCUGUGAGUAGAUGCUGCAGUGCAGCCUUGGCAAAACAUCGAGACCUAAUCUUUU